Vicugna pacos (alpaca) is the source of this 71-nucleotide non-coding RNA. Lineage: Eukaryota; Metazoa; Chordata; Mammalia; Artiodactyla; Camelidae. The record is from RefSeq and is a predicted model, not a curated record.
CUGGACAGGAGGCCACAGACCAGCACUGCUUCACCCACGUGUAUACACAUGUGUGACAUCGGAAGAGAGUC